RNAcentral lists this ribosomal RNA (253 nucleotides) under uncultured bacterium. RNAcentral's name for it is "partial 16S ribosomal RNA". It matches the Rfam family "Bacterial small subunit ribosomal RNA", at positions 524 to 776 of the family's 1533-position model. The record is from RNAcentral.
UACGAAGGGGGCUAGCGUUGUUCGGAAUUACUGGGCGUAAAGGGCGCGUAGGCGGUGUGUCAAGUCAGGCGUGAAAGCCCCGGGCUCAACCUGGGAACCGCGCUUGAGACUGGCACGCUAGAGUUCGGGAGAGGAUGGUGGAAUUCCCAGUGUAGAGGUGAAAUUCGUAGAUAUUGGGAAGAACACCGGUGGCGAAGGCGGCUCACUGGCUCAUUACUGACGCUCAGGCGCGAUAGCGUGGGGAUCAAACAGG